RNAcentral lists this ribosomal RNA (423 nucleotides) under Triticum aestivum (bread wheat). RNAcentral's name for it is "partial small subunit ribosomal RNA". Lineage: Eukaryota; Viridiplantae; Streptophyta; Magnoliopsida; Poales; Poaceae. The record is from RNAcentral.
AUGCCCACUCCUAAACCUAACAGCCAGCUCUCUCUCACUUGCUCUAUUCGCUCAAUUGACCAGGGCAGAAGAUUGGAUCAGGAGCAACUGGGCGACCGCACGAGCGUGCCUCCGCCGUCGCCGCCUGGAUUCACCUCGCUGCCCUCCAGAGUCACCACUAUGAUUUGCUGUAUAAUGCUCCUGUUUGCUGCUGCUGACCUACUGAUGUUGCUGUUGUGCUGGUUAGGGAGUGGCGUGGCAUGUGCAGCCCAUCUUCAGGCAUGGAAGCAACAUACCGACAUGGCAUCUGCAGGCAGUGGCAUGCCAGGCAGCCAAUCUUCAGUUGGUGGUAGUAUAAACAACAGUAUCGGUGUUGAUACUGAAGAGACUGGGGCUGGUAUUGUCAAUCAGAAGUAUCCUCUACGGGCUCAUUCUACAACUUAA